Triticum aestivum (bread wheat) is the source of this 3055-nucleotide long non-coding RNA. RefSeq lists it as uncharacterized. The record is from RefSeq and is a predicted model, not a curated record. NCBI's taxonomy places the organism in Eukaryota, Viridiplantae, Streptophyta, Magnoliopsida, Poales, Poaceae. The transcript has 4 exons.
UCCCUCGCGUCCCGAUGCUGCCAGGAGGCAACGCUCGAUCCGUUGCUACGCCAGCCGAUGGCCGACGCCGGCGAGGAUUUGCCCCCUCUCCUGACCCAUGUCUCUGUCUCGCGAAAUAGGGUUGGGCGCCGCCGCCGUUUUCCUGGUUGACAACGGCUAGCGUGGCGCGGUAGGCAGCCAGAGCGCCGCACGGGAGGUCCUUGUCGGGCGAAGCCCGUAUCACAGCGGUCCGGUGGAGGAAGAGGGCGGCGAAGUCAAGGAUGGGCGCAGCUUGCGGAGCCCCGUCCUCCUUUGUCCUCUCCCAUCGAGCGCCAGCGCCCCCACCUCCAUCUCGCGAGCCAUCCCCGGCUCCUACCGACCCCGCAGCUUCAUCGCCACCACCGCCGCCGCCGCCGCCGCCAUGAACCAGCCGGUGCAGAAGAACAACCUCUACGUAGGAACUUGGUAGCACCAUCGUCCCUCACUAACCUAUUCUCCGUCGCCGCUAUCCGCGCUCGGUCGCUUGCUUGCUAUUCGACGAAAUUCCUCUUCGAGAUGUGCAUGGUGGAUUGGCGGAGGAGGUGGACGAGAAGAUCAUGCAUGCGACAUUCGUGCUGUUCGGGGAGAUCAAGGACAUCAAGACGCCGCUCGACUAGGCCACACAGAAGCACCGCUCCUUCAGGUUCGUCACGUUCCUGGAGCGCGAGGACGCCACCGCCGCCAUGGGCAGCAUGGAUGGCGUCGAGCUCUUUGGUCGCGUUCUCACCGUGAACUAUUCCUUCCCCGAGGAAAUCAAGGGAGGGGAGCAUGGAUAGGCCGCGCUGCCAGGUAUGUCUGGCAUCCCAUGCUUCUCCACGGUUCAAUUACAUUAUGCCCUGCUUUUGUGCUUGCCUGCCUGGUUUCUUGACACUAGGGUUAGGGCUGCCAAAUAUUUUUCUUACGUGGUAUGAAGUUGAAAGAUUAAGGGCGAGGAAUUUUUAGGACGCGAUUAGACUAAAGCCUAGACAUUUUAUGGUGUUAAUGUCCAUUAAUUCUGCUUUUGUAUUGUGGUUUAUCUUUAUGUUAUCAUUAUAAGGAUUUUCUCCAGCUCAAAUUGGUAGAAAAAUGAAUUGUCCAUGUACAUUAAGUUUUUGUGCUAAGUCAAGGAGCAAAGUCAGCCACCGCCGCGGCGACAUGUCACGGUCGUGCGAGAGUGUGGACAGGCUGACUAGGGAUGAGACUUGGAGAACAAGAGCAUGGGAAGCCAGGCCUUAGGAGCAAGGGCCGAUGGGUGGCACGAGGACCUCGACAGUGUAGCGGCGCCUACUGGUUCUAUAGACCGACUGAUUAUGGAGGUGACUGUCCCAUCCACGACAAGCAUAGAGGACCCAUGAACUGAAACAGAGCACUGGUGUUAAGUUAGACCAGAGGAGCACACACACGGUCAGGUUUCAGGAACCACUGCUUCAUAAUUGUCCUUUUUAAACUGAGUGCUGGUUAAAUAAUCACAACCCUCUUAUUACAAGGUUAAGUUCAACUUGACACCAGCAAUAAUGGCUUGUAAUGAGCUAGAUUGGCUGAGACUGGACAUUAUGGAUUUGGUAGUGUAUAUACUAUAUACUGGAAAAUGGUAGCAUAGUCUUUGUAUGCUUAUUUUUUGAAUCGACAACACUCUACAGUCUUGAUGCUUAACUGUUGCUUUGAAAUAUUUGGAUCGCAUAUUAAACUAGAGUUUCAGUGUUGAAACUCGAUUCCUUGAAUCAAAGAGUUAAAUACUAGACAACAAGGUCACUUUGAUGCAAGCUAACCGUUUACAUGAGGCUUCAGCGUUUUGGAUUCUAGGUUUGAUGUUUACAUGAGACUAUUUUCCAGUUUACCUGAUCCAAUAUUUGCUGAUUGUAGACUUGUACUGUAUGCCAAUGAAGUCAGAUGACGUUUCUCAAUGGGGAAAGUUGGACAUUGUGUGUUAUCAGUUGUUUCUUCAUAGCACACAGCUAAAUUUCACAUUAUCUUCAUUGUAUAGCUGAUCCUCUGCCCCUCUGUAUUAAGCCUAGAAUCUGAAUAUUUUGUACUUUGACAGUUUAGCAUAUACCAUCUUCUUAGAUUUCUUCUAUUAAUGUUAAUAGAGUGUAUAAUCAUUAAGAACUAUUCCCAGCCAAAAUAAUUAAGCCCGUAUGAAAUACUUUAGUUGUACAACAACUUAAUUGCAUUAUUUCUAUUUUAUACAGCAGGAAGGACCCAGAUUAGUGAUGUUCAUAUGUACAGAAAACCGUACGAGAUUUUCAUGACAAUAUGUAUGAUCUCUACUUGUAAAGACUGGUACUUUAAGCCUAGAGUGACCCCUUUUGGAAAAUAUAAGAAAUUUUCAUCUUAGAAUGACCCAACGAAUUUCCCCAUUGAGAAUUUUUCAGCUUAGAAUGACCCAACAAUUUCCAGUUUACUUUAAGCUUGGAAUGACCCAACAAUUUCCAGUUUACUUUAAGCUUAGAAUGACCCAAUGAAGUGUACUUUGCAUCAUACAAAAGGAAAUUGUUGUGUACUCAGUAUGUACUUGCAAAAUAUAAGGAACACAUAUAUAAGAACAGUAAACCACGUCUAAAGUUUGUAUCUAUACAUAAUAUUUUGGUCUACUGAAUCUGGUUAUAUUAACUUGGUUGGUGGUCAUUGCUUCCUUUUUUAGCUAUUUGUACGCCGAUUUGAGCACACACAAUUAUUUUAAUUAUUCUACAGGGACAGAUGAGGCCGCCGCAAUCCCAUGCCUCGCUCAAUGUGUGAAUGGCCCCUCAGGAUAAUUUGCACCAAGUACUUCAGUCCUAUAAUUUUGGAUGUAAGGCGGCUUUCUCGAUCUUGGCCUUGAAGUUAGGAUGAUGCGCGACUGGCUUGAAAGGAGUUGGAGUUCUACCAAACAACUCGAAAGUCGGUGAUGUCUCCGUAGUUCUUCUACACAUAUUGUCACUGGUUUCCAUCACUUUUCUUUCCCAUAAAGACACCAAAUUCCAUGGGCGUCAUGAUGAUCACUAGAAAAAUGACUAUGUACAUAUUAAAUCUACAAGCAAUUGAUGCCCUGUUUAAUCACAAAAUCAAGGGUUUCGACUAA